RNAcentral lists this ribosomal RNA (253 nucleotides) under uncultured bacterium. RNAcentral describes it as "partial 16S ribosomal RNA". It matches the Rfam family "Bacterial small subunit ribosomal RNA", at positions 524 to 776 of the family's 1533-position model. The record is from RNAcentral.
UACGUAGGGUGCAAGCGCUGUCCGGAAUUAUUGGGCGUAAAGAGCUUGUAGGCGGUUUGUCGCGUCUGCUGUGAAAUUUCGGGGCUCAACCCCGAACUUGCAGUGGGUACGGGCAGACUAGAGUGUGGUAGGGGAGACUGGAAUUCCUGGUGUAGCGGUGAAAUGCGCAGAUAUCAGGAGGAACACCGGUGGCGAAGGCGGGUCUCUGGGCCGAUACUGACGCUGAGGAGCGAAAGCGUGGGGAGCGAACAGG